Phoenix dactylifera (date palm) is the source of this 514-nucleotide non-coding RNA. NCBI's taxonomy places the organism in Eukaryota, Viridiplantae, Streptophyta, Magnoliopsida, Arecales, Arecaceae. The record is from RefSeq and is a predicted model, not a curated record.
GCUUCAUCCUGGGCUUUGCCUUCCCCCUACUCUGGUACCUUGCUACUGUGCUUUACUUAUGCAAGUACUACCUCAGGGAUCCAAGAGAGAGAGGAGGCCUUGCAGCAUCUGCCAUUGCUGCUUUGAUAUGCUCCGUUGCCGCAUUGAUCGCAAUACUUGCCAUGAUUUUUUAGCUUGUCCCAUGGGCUAAAAGAAGUCUGUUUAUACGCAUAAUCAUGUGAAGAAAGCUUGCUGAGGUGGUCUUGGUCUUCCCAGAUGGCGAAUUUAUGGCCAUUAUCAAUUCGACAUGAGCAGCUACCCGAUCAUUUUAUGAGAUGAGCAAUUGGAUUGUCGGAGAGAAUGCGAUGAAAAAGCUCCUCAGCAACUCAAUUUUUUUUUCACUUUGGAUUUUCCGACAUGCAUAGAUCUGUCACGUUUUGCUAAUGGCAUCCAUCGUCAUACGACAAGGUUGCAAAUGUGCCUUCGAUUCAGAUCAGUGAAAUGGAGAUCAGACUGUCGUUGCUGCUUUGAGUUA